RNAcentral lists this ribosomal RNA (429 nucleotides) under Bacillota bacterium. Its description in RNAcentral is "Firmicutes bacterium partial 16S ribosomal RNA". It matches the Rfam family "Bacterial small subunit ribosomal RNA", at positions 355 to 776 of the family's 1533-position model. Lineage: Bacteria; Bacillati; Bacillota. The record is from RNAcentral.
UAGGGAAUCUUCCGCAAUGGACGAAAGUCUGACGGAGCAACGCCGCGUGAGUGAUGAAGGUUUUCGGAUCGUAAAACUCUGUUGUUAGGGAAGAACAAGUAUCGGAGUAACUGCCGGUACCUUGACGGUACCUAACCAGAAAGCCACGGCUAACUACGUGCCAGCAGCCGCGGUAAUACGUAGGUGGCAAGCGUUGUCCGGAAUUAUUGGGCGUAAAGCGCGCGCAGGUGGUUCCUUAAGUCUGAUGUGAAAGCCCACGGCUCAACCGUGGAGGGUCAUUGGAAACUGGGGAACUGGAGUGCAGAAGAGGAAAGUGGAAUUCCAAGUGUAGCGGUGAAAUGCGUAGAGAUUUGGAGGAACACCAGGGGCGAAGGCGACUUUCUGGUCUGUAACUGACACUGAGGCGCGAAAGCGUGGGGAGCGAACAGG